AUACGGAGGACGCGAGCGUUAUCCGGAUUCAUUGGGUUUAAAGGGUGCGCAGGCGGCCGUGCAAGUCAGCGGUGAAAGCCCGGGGCUCAACCCCGGAAGUGCCGUUGAUACUGCGUGGCUGGAAUGCGGUCGAGGCGGGCGGGACGGGGGGUGUUGCGGUGAAAUGCGGAGAUAAGCCCCCAAACGCCGAUAGCGGAGGCGGCACGCCAUGCCUGCAUUGACGCUCGGGCACGAAAGCGUGGGGAUCGAACAGGAUUAGAUCCCCUGGUAGUCCACGCCGUAAACGAUGGGCGCUCGUCGUCGGCGGCAGACAGUCGGCGGCCAAGCGAAAGCGAUAAGCGCCCCACCUGGGGAGUAUGGUCGCAAGGCUGAAACUCAAAUGAAUUGACGGGG
Molecule: ribosomal RNA, 393 nt
Filed under: uncultured bacterium
Lineage: Bacteria
Description: partial 16S ribosomal RNA
Rfam family: Bacterial small subunit ribosomal RNA
Source: RNAcentral